This 545-nucleotide ribosomal RNA is filed under the name uncultured Glomeromycotina. RNAcentral's name for it is "SSU rRNA". It matches the Rfam family "Eukaryotic small subunit ribosomal RNA", at positions 550 to 1097 of the family's 1831-position model. Lineage: Eukaryota; Fungi; Glomeromycota. The record is from RNAcentral.
GGAGGGCAAGUCUGGUGCCAGCAGCCGCGGUAAUUCCAGCUCCAAUAGCGUAUAUUAAAGUUGUUGCAGUUAAAAAGCUCGUAGUUGAAUUUCGGGAUCAAUUUAUUGGUCGUGCCAACGGUACGCACUGGUACAAUUGGUUUCUCCCUUCUGACGAAGCAUGAUGUCAUUAAUUUGAUGUCGUGGGGAAUCAGGACUGUUACUUUGAAAAAAUUAGAGUGUUUAAAGCAGGCUUUGGCUUGAAUACAUUAGCAUGGAAUAAUGAAAUAGGACGUUUGAUCUUAUUUCGUUGGUUUCUAAGAUCGACGUAAUGAUUAAUAGGGAUAGUUGGGGGCAUUAGUAUUCAAUCGUCAGAGGUGAAAUUCUUGGAUUUAUUGAAGACUAACUACUGCGAAAGCAUUUGCCAAGGAUGUUUUCAUUAAUCAAGAACGAAAGUUAGGGGAUCGAAGACGAUCAGAUACCGUCGUAGUCUUAACCAUAAACUAUGCCGACUAGGGAUCGGACGAUGUUAAUUUUUCUUGACUCGUUCGGCGCCUUACGGGAAA